This is a long non-coding RNA of Oncorhynchus keta (chum salmon), 2156 nucleotides long. RefSeq lists it as uncharacterized. The transcript is spliced from 10 exons. The record is from RefSeq and is a predicted model, not a curated record. NCBI's taxonomy places the organism in Eukaryota, Metazoa, Chordata, Actinopteri, Salmoniformes, Salmonidae.
GCAGGUCCUGGAUCAGCCUGAUGUCUUUAAACCAGCCUUAUUAUAGAGGGGAUCAGCAGGUCCUGGAUCAGUCUGAUGUCUUUAAACCAGCCUUAUUAUAGAGGGGAUCGGCAGGUCCUGGAUCAGCCUGAUGUCUUUAAACCAGCCUUAUUAUAGAGGGGAUCGGCAGGUCCUGGAUCAGUCUGAUGUCUUUAAACCAGCCUUAUUAUAGAGGGGAUCAGCAGGUCCUGGAUCAGUCUGAUGUCUUUAAACCAGCCUUAUUAUAGAGGGGAUCAGCAGGUCCUGGAUCAGUCUGAUGUCUUUAAACCAGCCUUAUUAUAGAGGGGAUCAGCAGGUCCUGGAUCAGCCUGAUGUCUUUAAACCAGCCUUAUUAUAGAGGGGAUCGGCAGGUCCUGGAUCAGUCUGAUGUCUUUAAACCAGCCUUAUUAUAGAGGGGAUCGGCAGGUCCUGGAUCAGUCUGAUGUCUUUAAACCAGCCUUAUUAUAGAGGGGAUCGGCAGGUCCUGGAUCAGUCUGAUGUCUUUAAACCAGCCUUAUUAUAGAGGGGAUCGGCAGGUCCUGGAUCAGUCUGAUGUCUUUAAACCAGCCUUAUUAUAGAGGGGAUCGGCAGGUCCUGGAUCAGUCUGAUGUCUUUAAACCAGCCUUAUUAUAGAGGGGAUCAGCAGGUCCUGGAUCAGUCUGAUGUCUUUAAACCAGCCUUAUUAUAGAGGGGAUCAGCAGGUCCUGGAUCAGUCUGAGGUCUUUAAACCAGCCUUAUUAUAGAGGGGAUCGGCAGGUCCUGGAUCAGUCUGAUGUCUUUAAACCAGCCUUAUUAUAGAGGGGAUCAGCAGGUCCUGGAUCAGUCUGAUGUCUUUAAACCAGCCUUAUUAUAGAGGGGAUCAGCAGGUCCUGGAUCAGUCUGAUGUCUUUAAACCAGCCUUAUUAUAGAGGGGAUCGGCAGGUCCUGGAUCAGUCUGAUGUCUUUAAACCAGCCUUAUUAUAGAGGGGAUCAGCAGGUCCUGGAUCAGUCUGAUGUCUUUAAACCAGCCUUAUUAUAGAGGGGAUCAGCAGGUCCUGGAUCAGUCUGAUGUCUUUAAACCAGCCUUAUUAUAGAGGGGAUCAGCAGGUCCUGGAUCAGUCUGAUGUCUUUAAACCAGCCUUAUUAUAGAGGGGAUCAGCAGGUCCUGGAUCAGUCUGAUGUCUUUAAACCAGCCUUAUUAUAGAGGGGAUCGGCAGGUCCUGGAUCAGUCUGAUGUCUUUAAACCAGCCUUAUUAUAGAGGGGAUCGGCAGGUCCUGGAUCAGUCUGAUGUCUUUAAACCAGCCUUAUUAUAGAGGGGAUCAGCAGGUCCUGGAUCAGUCUGAUGUCUUUAAACCAGCCUUAUUAUAGAGGGGAUCAGCAGGUCCUGGAUCAGUCUGAAGUCUUUAAACCAGCCUUAUUAUAGAGGGGAUCAGCAGGUCCUGGAUCAGUCUGAUGUCUUUAAACCAGCCUUAUUAUAGAGGGGAUCGGCAGGUCCUGGAUCAGUCUGAUGUCUUUAAACCAGCCUUAUUAUAGAGGGGAUCAGCAGGUCCUGGAUCAGUCUGAUGUCUUUAAACCAGCCUUAUUAUAGAGGGGAUCGGCAGGUCCUGGAUCAGUCUGAUGUCUUUAAACCAGCCUUAUUAUAGAGGGGAUCGGCAGGUCCUGGAUCAGUCUGAUGUCUUUAAACCAGCCUUAUUAUAGAGGGGAUCAGCAGGUCCUGGAUCAGUCUGAAGUCUUUAAACCAGCCUGAUGUCUUUAAACCAGCCUUAUUAUAGAGGGGAUCGGCAGGUCCUGGAUCAGUCUGAUGUCUUUAAACCAGCCUUAUUAUAGAGGGGAUCGGCAGGUCCUGGAUCAGUCUGAUGUCUUUAAACCAGCCUUAUUAUAGAGGGGAUCAGCAGGUCCUGGAUCAGUCUGAUGUCUUUAAACCAGCCUUAUUAUAGAGGGGGUCGGCAGGUCCUGGAUCAGUCUGAAUGGAAGUGGGGGGUUAAGAAGCUCCCCUGUUCCUCGAGGCGAGAGACCAGACAUCACCAACACCUACAGUAUCCAGCUGCUACUGAUGGGACCACACACAGGGGUCAGGGAGGGAGAUGGUAUUGUCUUUGGUCCCUGUGUGUGUGUGUUUCCGUCACGUGCUGUAGGCCUGGUCUCCCAGUCCGAUGCC